This is a long non-coding RNA of Cydia splendana, 908 nucleotides long. RefSeq lists it as uncharacterized. NCBI's taxonomy places the organism in Eukaryota, Metazoa, Arthropoda, Insecta, Lepidoptera, Tortricidae. The record is from RefSeq and is a predicted model, not a curated record. The transcript is spliced from 2 exons.
AAUUUGAAACUUCGUAAAAAGAUAUACUAUUGAAAUACAAGAAAACUAAUUUCAGAGUUUUUGAAAAUUCAUCCCCUAAGGUGGUGAAAAAGGGGUUGAAAGUUUGUAUGGACAUCAAACAUUUUUUCUAGUGCGGGACUUGAAUCUUUGUAUUUGGGGAUAUUAUUAGAAGACAAGAAAAGUAAUUUCAGCGUUUUGUAAAAUUCAUCCCCUAACAUGGUUAAAAAGGGGUUGAAAGUUUGAAUCCAUUACAAAUGCUUUGAAACUUCUUAGAAAGGCAUAACAGCCGAUCACAAAAAAAAGUAAUCGCAUCGUUUUUGGAAAUUAAACCCCUAAGAGGGUUAAAAAGGGGAUGAAAGUUCGUUUUGGGGUGCAAAUUUUAUUUUAAGCUAGUAACUUGAAACUUUGCAAAAAGGUAUUAAAUUAAAAUACAGGAAAAGUAAUUUCAGCGUUUUUGGAAAUUCAGCCCUUAAGGUGGUUAAAAAGGGGAUGAAAGUUCGUCUUGGGGUGCAAAUUUUAUUUUAAGCAAGGAACUUGAAACUUUGCAAAAAGGUAUUAAAUUAAAAUACAGGAAAAUUUCAGGGUUUUUGAAAAUUCAGCCCCUAAGGUGGUAAAAAAGGGGUUGAAAGUUUGUAUGGAUAUCAAACAUUUUUUCGAGCGCGGGACUUGAAUCUUUGUAUUUUGGGAUAUUAUUAGAAGACAAGAAAAGUAAUUUCAGCGUUUUGUAAAAUUCAUCUCCUAACAGGGUUAAAAAGGGGUUGAAAGUUUGAAUCCAUUACAAAUGCUUUGAAACUUCUUAGAAAGGCAUAACAGCCGAUUACAAAAAAAAGUUAUUGCAACGUUUUUGGAAAUUCAAGCCCUAAGGGGGUUAAAAAGGGGAUGAAAGUUCGUCUUGGGGUGUAAAUUUU